This 421-nucleotide ribosomal RNA is filed under the name uncultured bacterium. RNAcentral describes it as "partial 16S ribosomal RNA". It matches the Rfam family "Bacterial small subunit ribosomal RNA", at positions 360 to 773 of the family's 1533-position model. The record is from RNAcentral.
AAUAUUUGACUAUGGGGGCAACCCUGAUCCAGCCAUGCCGUGUGUGUGAAGAAGGUCUUCGGAUUGUAAAGCACUUUAAGUUGGGGGGAAGGGCUUUAGGUCAUUACCAUGAAGUUUUGACAUUACCAACAGAAUAAACACCGGCUAACUCUGUACCGUCAGCCGCGGUAAUACAGAGGGUGCAAGCGUUAAUCGGAAUUACUGGGCGUAAAGCGGCAGUAGGUGGUUCAGUAAGUUGGGUGUGGAAUCCCCGGGCUUAACCCGGGAGCUGCUUUAAUAACUGCUGAGCUAGAGUACGGUAAAGGGUAGUGGAAUUUCCUGUGUAGGGGUUAAAAGCGUAGAGAUAGGAAGGAACAACAGUGGCGAAGGCGACUACCUGGACUGAUACUGACACUGAGGUGCGAAAGCGUGGGGAGCAAAA